Molecule: long non-coding RNA, 124 nt
Organism: Ipomoea nil (Japanese morning glory)
Lineage: Eukaryota; Viridiplantae; Streptophyta; Magnoliopsida; Solanales; Convolvulaceae
Exons: 3
Source: RefSeq, a predicted model, not a curated record
CAGGUAUCGUACUUUCAGUGUGCACACCCCCUAACCGGGAUUCCAAGCCCAACGGGUAGUAUCCAAUCUAGCAGCCCAGGAUUUUUCUACCAAGCUACUUCAUUUAAAAACUAACCUAUAAGGC